This is a non-coding RNA of Triticum urartu, 1201 nucleotides long. Lineage: Eukaryota; Viridiplantae; Streptophyta; Magnoliopsida; Poales; Poaceae. The record is from RefSeq and is a predicted model, not a curated record.
UUAGGUACAUCAAAUGUGUCUAUCCAAGAAGAGCACAAUUUUAGAGUGUUUCUUUAUGGUUCUGAUUCCCCACCCCCAUGUUAAUAUCUCUGUAUGAUUACCACAUUACAAGUCUUCUUUUAUAUCCAAAAGGGGGACUAGCAAUCUUCAUCAAGCUUAUUGGAUUGGUUGUUCAUGCCUACAUCAAUGUACUGUUCAACAUCAAGCUUAUUGGAUCAGCUGUUUAUGCCUAAAUCAACCAAACAAGUACAGAGUUAUCUUAUGUUAUUUCAAGGUAAAUCCUUCUAUUUUUUGGAGAAGCAAAGCUAACUACUUUGAAGCAGGUAAAUCCUUCGGUUUAUGUUGUACUUAUACAGAUACCUUGGAAUUUCAGGCUAGAUAUAUACUUUUUCCUGGUUGUUUUUAUUGAAGUUCGAGUGCUUCACAACUUACAAUUUGUUUUUUGGUUCCCUAUUCGAAGAGCUUCUGUUGUGCAUGUGGGGAAGAAGCCAUAUCACGUCUCAUAGGAAUUUUCUCGAUCACGGCAAUUAUUAGUGGAGCAUAGUACAAUUUCAAAGAGAUGAUCACGACAAUAAUGGCAGACAGGGGAAUCGAGGGACGGCACCGAAUCGUCUCCUCUCCCUUGUGGUUUAAAUACCGGAGGAAUGGGAGGAGGCGUCUUGCUCCUUGUUCGUUCCCGCUGCUGCCGGCGGCCAGAGCUUCCUGAUCAGAAAGCUUGUGAUGGCCGUAGAGGGUGGCAAGGACUGCCUCGGUGACUUCACUGACGACCUCCUCCGGCAUCUGUUGUCCCUUCUUCAGCCCGAAGAUGCCCUGAAGACUUGUGUGCUAGACACCAGGUGGCGUGAACUAUGCAGGCGCACCACUAGCCUGCACUUUGUCACUCUCAAGCGUUGGCUGUAGAAGUUCUCUGCCAACCCAGCUGUACAUGCCGCAGAUUAUUUCAAUCGGAAGGCGUCAUGAUGGUAUUGCUACAGAUGUAUAAUCUGUAGAUCAUGUUGAGUUCUCCUUUACUUGAUCAUUCUUUAUUUGCUAUCCUUUCAUCCUCAAUAUUUCAGAGAUAACGCCCUAUUAUGGUAACUACUAGAGUGUUCCCUUCUUACACCCCAGUUUAAUAGGGUGUUUGCUCUUAUGGUGACACCUAACACCCUAUUAAACUGUCCAAAAGUCUUAUAUUUAGGAAGAGCUGUUUUACGGUGAUUGG